GGCAGUGACAGGCCCCUGGGCAGGUGUAAGCAGGUGGCAGACAGGUCUGGGGGCAGAUGUGAGCCGGUAUGAGAAGGUGGCAGCAACAGGCCUGGGGGCAGGUGUGAGCAGGUGGCAGAUAGACCUGUGGGCAGGGGUGAGCAGGUGUGAGCAGGUGGCAGACAGGCCUGGGGCAGGUGUGAGCAGGUGGC
Herpailurus yagouaroundi (jaguarundi) is the source of this 191-nucleotide long non-coding RNA. RefSeq lists it as uncharacterized. The record is from RefSeq and is a predicted model, not a curated record. NCBI's taxonomy places the organism in Eukaryota, Metazoa, Chordata, Mammalia, Carnivora, Felidae. The transcript is spliced from 3 exons.